GUUUCCGUAGUGUAGCGGUUAUCACGUGAGUCUAACACACUCAAGGUCCCCGGUUCGAGCCCGGGCGGAAACU
RNAcentral lists this transfer RNA (73 nucleotides) under Strongylocentrotus purpuratus (purple sea urchin). RNAcentral's name for it is "tRNA-Val". Lineage: Eukaryota; Metazoa; Echinodermata; Echinoidea; Camarodonta; Strongylocentrotidae. The record is from RNAcentral.